GAGUAACACGUAUCCAACCUACCGGUUAUUCUGGGAUAGCCUUUCGAAAGAAAGAUUAAUACCGGAUAGUAUAACGAGAAGGCAUCUUUUUGUUAUUAAAGAAUUUCGAUAACCGAUGGGGAUGCGUUCCAUUAGUUUGUUGGCGGGGUAACGGCCCACCAAGACAUCGAUGGAUAGGGGUUCUGAGAGGAAGGUCCCCCACAUUGGAACUGAGACACGGUCCAAACUCCUACGGGAGGCAGCAGUGAGGAAUAUUGGUCAAUGGACGAGAGUCUGAACCAGCCAAGUAGCGUGAAGGAUGACUGCCCUAUGGGUUGUAAACUUCUUUUAUAUGGGAAUAAAGUGAGCCACGUGUGGCUUUUUGUAUGUACCAUACGAAUAAGGAUCGGCUAACUCCGUGCCAGCAGCCGCGGUAAUACGGAGGAUCCGAGCGUUAUCCGGAUUUAUUGGGUUUAAAGGGAGCGUAGGCGGACUAUUAAGUCAGCUGUGAAAGUUUGCGGCUCAACCGUAAAAUUGCAGUUGAUACUGGUCGUCUUGAGUGCAGUAGAGGUAGGCGGAAUUCGUGGUGUAGCGGUGAAAUGCUUAGAUAUCACGAAGAACUCCGAUUGCGAAGGCAGCUUACUGGACUGU
RNAcentral lists this ribosomal RNA (630 nucleotides) under uncultured bacterium. RNAcentral describes it as "bacterial SSU rRNA". It matches the Rfam family "Bacterial small subunit ribosomal RNA", at positions 108 to 737 of the family's 1533-position model. The record is from RNAcentral.